UGGGGAAUAUUGCACAAUGGGGGAAACCCUGAUGCAGCAACGCCGCGUGCGGGAUGACGGCCUUCGGGUUGUAAACCGCUUUCAGCCAUGACGAAGCUUUUGUGACGGUAGUGGCAGAAGAAGCACCGGCUAACUACGUGCCAGCAGCCGCGGUGAUACGUAGGGUGCGAGCGUUGUCCGGAAUUAUUGGGCGUAAAGAGCUUGUAGGCGGUUUGUCGCGUCGAAAGUGUAAACUCAGUGCUUAACGCUGAGCCUGCUUUCGAUACGGGCUGACUAGAGGAAGGUAGGGGAGAAUGGAAUUUCCGUUGGAGCGGAGGAAUGCGCAGAUAUCGGGAGGAACACCAGUGGCGAAGGCGGUUCUCUGGACCUUUCCUGACGCUGAGAAGCGAAAGCGUGGGUAGCAAACAGG
RNAcentral lists this ribosomal RNA (409 nucleotides) under bacterium. RNAcentral describes it as "partial 16S ribosomal RNA". It matches the Rfam family "Bacterial small subunit ribosomal RNA", at positions 355 to 776 of the family's 1533-position model. The record is from RNAcentral.